GCCUUUUGAGUAUGUAUAGUACACUCGCCUUCCAAGCAAGAAGAUUAAAUGUUUUUAAAAAAGGUA
RNAcentral lists this transfer RNA (66 nucleotides) under Diffalaba opiniosa. RNAcentral describes it as "tRNA-Gly". The record is from RNAcentral. Lineage: Eukaryota; Metazoa; Mollusca; Gastropoda; Litiopidae.